Molecule: ribosomal RNA, 253 nt
Filed under: uncultured bacterium
Lineage: Bacteria
Description: partial 16S ribosomal RNA
Rfam family: Bacterial small subunit ribosomal RNA
Source: RNAcentral
UACGGGGGGGGCAAGCGUUGUUCGGAAUUACUGGGCGUAAAGGGCUCGUAGGCGGCCAACUAAGUCAGACGUGAAAUCCCUCGGCUUAACCGGGGAACUGCGUCUGAUACUGGAUGGCUUGAGUUCGGGAGAGGGAUGCGGAAUUCCAGGUGUAGCGGUGAAAUGCGUAGAUAUCUGGAGGAACACCCGUAGCGAAGGCGGCCGACUGGACCACACCUGACGCUGAGGCGCGAAGGCCAGGGGAGCGAACGGG